This is a long non-coding RNA of Coturnix japonica (Japanese quail), 2869 nucleotides long. The record is from Ensembl. NCBI's taxonomy places the organism in Eukaryota, Metazoa, Chordata, Aves, Galliformes, Phasianidae.
AUUCUCAGUCCUUUUCUACUUUAAUUUAAUGCUUCCCUUCAGCAGAUCCUCGGGUAUCUGCUCUGGAGGAGGUGGUUGUUCACUGACCCACCUGAAAGCUCCCAUAGCAGUGGGGUGCUGCUGCAGGAAGAGAGCAAAGGGCAUCGCAUGCACAUCUCCCCCACUAGAAAUCCACUGCAAGAUAAAGAGAUGCAGCAGGGGAUGUUCUGCUGGGCCAGAAGGUCAGCGCUGGAAUCGGAAUCAGCAAUCACAUGUUCUGAAUGCAAAGCAAAGGGCUCCUCCAGCGCUUCUGAGCUUUGUGUGCCGACGAGGCAGAGCCACGAGGUGUUUGGGGGGGGGAAAUCCUUAACCCGUAACCCCCAGCAGCCCGCAGUUGCGCAAGAAACAUGGGGAGGGGGCCACGCGAUUCCCCCCGCCCCGUAACAUCCGCGCCCACCCCUCUCGUGCUGGGGGCGGAGGGAUGAAUGGAGGGAGGGCAGGAGGGUGCUCCUCCUCACCCCCUCCCCUUCUCUCCCCCUUGUCCCCCUUCCCCCCACCCCUCCCUGGGGGUCCCGUAGCUGCGGGGCGGAGCGGAGCGGGGCGGUGCGGGGCCGGGUGCGGAGCCGGGACCGGGCGCACGAUGCGCUGCGGGGCGCUGGUUCUGGCGCUGCUCUGCGCUUUGCCCCUGGGAGCGACGGGGCUGGAGCUUCCCGAAACGGGCUCAGGGCUGCAGGAAGAUGAAGUGAACCUGCUGGAUAAAAUGACUUCCCAUGCACAGGACCUCAGCAAUGUUUCCUUCAGCUCCGAUGAGGCCAAUUGCAGCACACUGCAGAUCGGGCAGUACUCCACCCUCAGCAUUCCAACACAGGAGGUGUUUGGGGACAGGUUUGCAGACGAGCUGAGUGUGCUGAUGAAGCUCAGGUACUCAUUACAGGAGGACACCAGCCUGGUGACCAUCCUGAGCCAUCGGAGCCAUGUGCUCUUCCAGAUCCGGGUUAGCCCAUAUGGCUUGAUCUUUGUCACCACAAGGAGGAGACACUAUGAGUUCCCUGUUUCCCUGCUCAGUGAUGGGCGCUGGCAUAGAGUUGCUCUCAGCAUCUCCCAGGAGAGCCUGGAGCUGUAUGUGGAUUGUCGGCUGGUGGAGAGAGCCAGCUGGCCUGGCUACCUGGGGAUGGGUGUGAGCACCGAGGGGCUGCUCGUCAUCGGAGGUCUGGUGGAGUCCUUUGAGAUCCCCUUUGAGGGUGCUCUGCAGCAGCUGACCUUUGUGAUGGGGGAUGCAGCAGCAGCUGGUGAGCAUUGCCACAACCACGCUGUGAUAUGUGCACGCUCCUCUGGCAUCAGUCCUCCUCCAAGGGACCACUCUGCAACAAGGCCAGAGGUACCAAAAGAAACCAAUGAGAUCCAGGGGUCAUCAACUCAGGAUUCCAAACACCCCCAUUCAGAUUUGACCUUGGGCCCACAUUGGACAUGGAAGGGUGCCCAGGAGACCCUUAGCCUGCAUCCAGAUGGGAACGCCCGGACUUUGUUCUCUGCUGCUGAGGUGCCAACAUCUGAAGAGCAGGAGGAAGAAGAGGGAAGCCUUUCUAUUGAGGAUGAAGGCUUUGAGCUGUUGAACUUCACCUAUAAUAAAAUCACUGGCCCUGGCAGGCCAGGAAUCAGCAGGAGCAGACCACGGAUCAUUGGCAUCCCCGGGCCAUCAGCCAAGAAAGAACAAGCCUCUGACCCUGGGCAGGAGGAUAAUGUCACCACGGAGAAGCUGAAGGGCAAUGCAGACACCCACCUUCACCUCCCACCCAUCAAACCUGGCGGUGCCACCAAGCCCAUUGCCUCCUCCAAAGUGUCCCCAUUGAGACACCAGGCAGCUGCACCCAAGGGUUCCUCAGGGGUGGUUGCAGGGCAUCCAGAGCAUCCUCACACCCCCCUGGGUCACCCCAUCUUGCCAUCAGUACGUGGAUAUUGGGCUCAUGUGAAGCCAGGACCCCCAGGGCUGCCGGGACCUCCAGGGCUGCCAGGAUGCCCUGGGAGACGUGGACUUGUGGGCCCCAAAGGAGACAAAGGUCACGCUGGAGCCAUGGGGCGGAUGGGACCCCCAGGUGACCCAGGUCCUAUGGGCAUCCCUGGCAUCCCCACUGUUGUUCUAUGGAGGAACUCCCGUGAGGACUGGCUGAGCUUCACGCAAUCAUCCUUUUACCAGCUGCUGCACUCUGGCUGGCCGAGAAAACCCGGAGCCCCCGGCCCUCCAGGGCACCCAGGGAAAGCAGGCAUGCCGGUAAGCACAGCCACCUCCAGGUGUCCCUGCCUUCCUGUGGGCACUUUGUGUUCCUAAGCAACCCCAGGCUCCCUCAAAAUCAGCUGUAAUUCAAGGCCAUGGGAUUCCAGCCUAGGGGGUUGCUUGUUGGUGGUCCACUGAUGGACAGGUGAUGUCUCAGCUUCAUUAUAUGUCCCCACCCCCCCCUGCCAGCCCCUAGUGCUGCAGAUCUGGUUCUUGGAUGCAAAUCCAUCCUUGGAUGUGAUUUCCAAAGCUCUCUGUGCAUCGUUCCUUGUUUUCCAUGUAACCAUACCUACGAGGCCACGGCGUAUCUCAGUUCUGCACUGUAACCCGAGGGCACAGCCAAAUUGUGUUGACUCUAUUUGUGUUUGCACACAGGGGCUGUGUGGAGAGCCGGGAGAGCCGGGGCAGAAGGGCCAUCGGGGGUACAUGGUAAGUGCCACCCAUCCUAUGACUAGGGAUGCUCAAAUACAGGAUGGGAUGGAGGGUGUGGGGCUGGUGCCUGUGUUGGACCUUCACAGCUCCAAAAGCUGGUGGAGAAAUUUAGAGUUUAAAAUCCUGAGCAAGAAAUGGAGCCACACCACAGAGCUGUGCUGAGCGUCCUGUUGGGCAUGUGGUGGC